This 367-nucleotide ribosomal RNA is filed under the name Clostridioides difficile. RNAcentral's name for it is "bacterial LSU rRNA". It matches the Rfam family "Bacterial large subunit ribosomal RNA", at positions 534 to 900 of the family's 2925-position model. Lineage: Bacteria; Bacillati; Bacillota; Clostridia; Peptostreptococcales; Peptostreptococcaceae. The record is from RNAcentral.
GGGAGUGAAAUAGAACCUGAAACCCUGCACUUACAAGCUGUGGAAGCACAUUUCUUGUGUGACCGCGUACUUUUUGUAGAACGGGCCAACGAGUUACGUUAAGUAGCAAGGUUAAGCACUUAAGGUGCGGAGCCGUAGCGAAAGCGAGUUUUAACUGAGCGUUCAGUUACUGGACGUAGACCCGAAACCGGGCGACCUACCCAUGAGCAGGAUGAAGCGAAAGUAAAAUUUCGUGGAGGUCCGAACCCACGAGCGUUGAAAAGCUCGGGGAUGACUUGUGGGUAGCGGUGAAAUUCCAAUCGAGCCCGGAGAUAGCUGGUUCUCCCCGAAAUAGCUUUAGGGCUAGCCUCAAGGUGAGAGAUACGGA